RNAcentral lists this long non-coding RNA (24077 nucleotides) under Sorghum bicolor (sorghum). RNAcentral's name for it is "long non-coding RNA (SBIC_LNC007107)". The stretch from base 3915 to 4021 matches the Rfam family "Plant small nucleolar RNA R71". The record is from RNAcentral. Lineage: Eukaryota; Viridiplantae; Streptophyta; Magnoliopsida; Poales; Poaceae.
GUUGUGAUGUUGUUGUUCAUUGUUGUUGUAUCUUGUCUCAGCUCUUCUACUGCAGCGGCAUGGUCCUCGUUCCAUUUUUGUUGCUCUUCCAGGAGUCUUCCAUGUUCUGCUUGCGUGUUCUGGAUGUUGAGGAGGGUGUUGUCGGUACGAGUGAAGAAAGCACCGGCCUCUUGAUAGUAGUCAUUCGUGAAAGCGUAGGAGGCGUCGGAGUAUCGUCCUGCAUCAAAUUGGGGCGGAGGUCUGGAUCCUGAAGCUCCAUAUGGAUCAGUGGAGUACCUACCUGUAUGGAAAGGCGGGUUUGUCCACUGGUGAUCUUGGCUCUCCGGCCAUGUCUCCUCUGUUGGCUCUUGUGGUUGCGCAUGACGAGCCCAUGGGUCUCGAAGGACUCGUGGAUUGUAAUCACAAUAAUGCAGGUGCGCUGCUUCUUCUGGUCCAGGGUCAGCUCCAUACCAAGUGCGUUCUCGGUGAGUGGUUAUCCUUUCAGAUGCCACUCGCUGUGGAGUUCUUUGCUUCACUGGUGUUGCUGCAAUUUCAAUCAAAAAGUUUUGCACAGCGUAGAGGCCAAGGUUCGGGUUAGGUAACCGAAUCUUGCCUUUAUCAUCAUAUAGCAUAUACAUUAUAUUUCCCUCUUUCUUUAACAUCCGAGCUUGUCUAAAUGUGUCAUAGCCAUGAUAAAUUCUUAAUUCUUCUAUGAAGUCCAACGAUGAGUUUUCUAGUAAGUGAAGAUUAGUGGCUAGACAAGUGAUAAGUGAAGUACAUCCUACUGGUCCCUGAAGACUAGGUAUACUAAGCCAAUGUGAAACUAAUAGUGUAACAGGUGAGGUGGGUACUUUACUAAUAGCAGCAUAUAAAAGUUGUAAAUCUCCUACUCUUACUUUCCUAAUAUCAUCGCGAUAGAAAAGAUUGUACCCAAGCCAUUUGUGAAACAUCCUAAGAGUGGGGUGUUCCAUGUCACUGGUUCGGGCUUGACUGUAAAGAUUAUCUCUAGAUAUUUCUCUCCAAAACUGGUGUCUCUCAAAAUUGGGUAAAUCGGAGUCAAUGUUCAGGAUGCAUCUUGAAGAGAAACCAAGAUGGUCGCUCAGCUCUCUCCAAGAUAACAUAAUUUCUUGUUUGAACAUCCGAAAAACAAUUCCCCCCUCAUAGUAUUGUAAAGUGCAAAGAAAUUCGAGGGUGAGAAGACGAGAACCCAGCUCAGUUAUAUUCCAAAAAUUUGUCCAACCCAUCAUCUGAAAAAAUUAAGUCAAAUUCAGUGUCCAUACCUGUUUCUCGUAGUAGGAUUGGAUCGAUAGUAGGGGUGUGAAUGAAAUCUUUAUUCUUCAAUUGCUGAUAGACUUCCUUCUCUCUUCGGGUCUUCAGUCCAAGGUCUCCUAUCUUGAGAAGGACCUUAACUUGCUGACCUGAUGAAGAUGAUGGAGCUUGUGUGGGUGUCGGGUCGACGCUCAUCUCUGAUGGCUGUGAGGAGUGUCAGGCGGAACUCCUUGUACCAAUGUUCUUGAUAGCCUUCCCUGCAUUCUUCACCUUCUUAAACAUCCUGCAAACAAAAGUUGGCAAAAACACAACUAGUGGAAAAUGUGAUAUAAAAUGUUAGUGGUCAGCUGUCCGGAGUGUCAGUAGUCCAGGGGUUAAUUGUUCAAGACAAGUUUCUAUUUUGGUAGAGCCUCCCCCUAAACAACUUUUACUUCCGCUUAGACAACAGGUUCACUACUUGCUAGUUGAUAAUCACUUUCUCAAAAGAACUCCAACUUUCUCUUCCACUCUCCUCUUUCUCUCUACUCUCUUCUCUUCACUACAACAACUCCUUCUCGGGAAACUGAAACUUGUAUGGUUUUCUGGAGUGUUUGUGUGAAGAGAAGGGGAGCUGGAGGUGGCCUUUUAUAGGCUGAGCAGGGGACAGGGCGGGCGCCCAAGGUAGGUGGGCGGGCGCCCACCCCUGGUGUCCAUCCUGGGUGUGCCUUCUCCACUUGCUUCCUUGCUUUGAUCUCACGCAGAAUAAUAUUGUGUUGGUAGUGGUUGGACGGUGGAAAGAUGUCAGGUGAGUGGAAACAUAUUGGUGGAUGAAAUAAUAUGAUGGGAUGUAUGUGAGGUGAAGUGUAUGACAUGUGGGACCCAAGGAGUGUGGGUCAUGCUUCUAGAAGAUUAAUAUAAUUAAAUAUAAUGUAGGAAAAUCUAUGAGAAUUGAAACUUAAUUGAAAAUGAUAAUGGAAAAUAUUUUUGUGCCUCCACAAUAAGUAAUAAAUAUGGGUUGUUACACACCACAAAUAUUAUUUAUAUGGGGCUUUUUGAUUGUUAUAAUUAUGCUAUGAAUGUAUAACUAAUGCAAGAAUUAAUUAUGCAAGAAUUUAAAUAUGAGAAAAUUAAUAAGGCGGAUAAAUACCGAUUUACCUCCCGGUGAGGGUUUGAGAUUUUUAGGUCCCCCAAGCUGGACCUCCAAUUCUUUUAAUCUUCUGAAUUACCUUCCUCUGGAGAUGGUGUCUCCAGUGGUUCUUCAUGGACUUCCUUUACUGUAGAGUCUCUCUCUGGUCUGGGUUUGAAUGUGAAAUGUUCUUCUUGACCGUUUAUGUUGAACUUGAUUUCUCCUUUUCCGACAUCAAUGUGGGCAUUGGCAGUGCUCAGAAAUGGUCUUCCAAGGAUGAUGGACACUUUUGAGUCAGGGCUCAUGUCCAGUACUACGAAGUCUACUGGCACCAGGAAAUCUCUGAUCUUGACUGGAAUGUUCUCGGCGAUGCCCAACGGGUGUCGAACCGAUUGAUCCGCUAGUUGUAGGCACAUUGAUGUUGGUUCUAAGGUUGCAUGCUCAAGCUUUUUGUAGACUGAUGCUGGCAUCACACUGACACUUGCUCCGAGAUCACAAAGUGCAUUGUUGAAGUGUUGGUUUCUGAUCGAGCAAUCAAUAGUGGGACAUCCAGGAUCUUCCUUCUUCUUUGGUGGUUUAUUGAGGAUGGCCGCACUACAUUCUUCUGUCAGCUUGAUAACCUCAGUGGUGGGCAGUGGUCUCUUCUUGUUAAGAAUAUCUCUGAUGUACUUUGCAUAUGUAGGUACAUGUAUGGCAUCGAGCAGAGGUAUGUUGACAUAUAAUUUCUGAAUGACCUCUACAAACUUACCAAACUGCUCAUCCGACUGCAGUCCUCUAUUUCUUCUAGGAAAUGGCAAAUAGUUGGUGUCGUAAAAAUCUUUCCUCAUUUCUCUGGUUCUUGGUGGUUGGAGCAGAUCUUCUGCUCCAACUGGGCUUUCUUCUUCUAUCAGUGCUGGUUGCACUGGUGCUGAUGUUCUUUGUUUCUCUUUUGGGUAUGGUGGAUCUCUGGUAGCUUUGCCUCCUCUAGUAGUUAUAUUCUUUACCUGCUCAAGGUUAGUAGCAACAGGCAGUGCAGCAGCUAACUUUAUUAAUUUAAGCUCUACCCUUUUAUUAAGAGUGUUUUGCUCAUCAAAGGCAGUUAGUAGAAAAUCCAUUUUAUUGUAUAUAUCUUUUAGAGAUGAUUCAUUUGUAUCUAGCCUUUGUUUAACUUCAUCAUUAAUUUUGGUUUGUUGAGCAAUUAUCUCUUUUAAUGAAAGUUGCUUGAAAGUAUUACCUGAAUUCAUACCUUUGCUAUUGGGUUGACUUGAAGUUGGUUGAUAUUUGUAUGCUGUCUCUAUGGCCCUUUUAUCUUCUUUGAACUUGGCCCUCUCGUCAAUCCAAUGGAGCAAAUUUUCCAUCUUAGUUGAUAAUGCUUUUACUUCUUCUGGUAUUUCUUCAGUUUGAUGGCAUUGUUGAGCUUUAUCUUGGAACCAGCUUUGGUUUUCUGCUAUCUUAUCCAAAAGUAUCUCUGCUUUUCCAAUUGUAAGCUCCAAGAAUGAUCCUUUAGCAGAUGCAUCUAGGCACUCACGAGCCUUCUGGGUUAAUCCAUGGUAGAAGGUCUGCAUAAGUAACCAUGUGGCCAUUCCAUGGUGAGGACAAUCUGAUAUGUAUCCUUGAAAACGCUCCCAUGCUUCUGAAAUGGCUUCUGUCUUCUGUUGUUGGAAACUGACAAUAUUUCUUCUUAAGGCAGUUGUUUUGCCUAUAGGGAAAAACUUUGAUAGAAAGGCAUCUGACAAGUUCGUCCAGUUGUUGAUGUUAUCUUGAUGAGUGUAGAACCACUUCCUCGCUUUUCCUCCUAGUGAGAAUGGAAAAAGGCGAAGCAGUAUGACGUCUUUGUCAACUCCGUUGAUGUGGAUUGUGCUUCCAAUCUCUAAGAAAUUCUGCAAGUGUGCACUGGCAUCUUCAUGUGCCUUUCCACUGAAUUGUGUAGCUUGUACCAAAUUGAUGAGACUUGACUUGAGCUCAAACUCAGGUAUUCCUUCUUCUACUGCAAAUCUUGGACCGGUUGGAAUGUUGUCCAGACUUGGAGCAGAGAAUUCUUGCAAGGUCUUUUGUGCCAUAGCUUCAGCAAUUGGUAGCUAGCUUCUUCUUCUCUAGAUUGCUUUGGUUCUGAUGAUGAAGAGUUGAAUGUACCCAAAGUCAAUCCUGUUAUACCCUGUAUAAAAAUAUAAACAUAGAAAAACAACAGGGUGAACCUGCCAAUGCAGCGGUGCCUUGUUAUGAUUUCUCACUUAGUAGCUGUUUUUAUGCAAUUAUUUCUCUAUAGUCUAGUCUAAUAUUUUAUAUGAAUAACCUUGAUUGAUUUUCUGGCUUUCCUUACUAUUACCCUUUUGUUCCCUUUUAUGAUUUAUUCCUGAGACUCAUAUAAUUCCUAUAAAUGUUCUAACAUGUCCCCGGCAACGGCGCCAGAAAUGCUUGUUGACACUAGCUAACACCACUUAGAUACUAGGUUGUCAUCCCUAGCAUGGCGCCAGAGUGUACAAAGGUAUUUAUAAAUGUAAAGGCUCUCUAGAAAAUAAUCUAUUCUAUCCGCAAGCGCACAGAUAAAACACCUCAUUGUAGCAUUUCACCAGGAUAAGUAUUCCAGGUAUCGUUAUUUAUAAUUUUGCUUAGGGGAUCUAAGGAAGAUGGAAUUAAAAUAAAAGAGCAAAAUCUAUCAAGGCAUAGACUAGAGAUAAACUUGCAGGAACAUGAUUACUAAUGAGAAACUCGUCACACAGUCACAUACUUUAGCAGGGGGUAAACCAUAAAGAUAAUGAUAAUAAAGUAUAAGUUCAUGGGUAGAUAGCACAGCGAUUAGAAAAUAGACUACUCCUCAUAUAUGUAGGUGACGUCGGAUUAGCUAGAGAAUGGAUUCUAAGUUAUCUACUAACUACUAAGUCAUAAUCUACUCUAGUUAUCUACAAGAUCAUGUAUAGCAUAAAAGACUCUUCAUUCAUGUAUAAGGAACAUUGAUAAAGUAAAUCAGAACAUCGCAUGACUUACUCCACAAUACCGGUUCUGCCUGUCCUAUCAACGGAGGGUGGACUAUAUAAGAAUCAACGAAGCUGUCACUAUCGCGAACUACCACACGACUCGGCCAAUAGGAUACAUUUGCAGAUAAAUAACAUCUAAGCACCACGCUCACAUGUGAUCUAUCACCUAACUCCCUCGCGACAAGAGCUAAGCGCUUUGCAAACUUAUACAUAAACUCAUUAUCAAUUAGAACUAUAUCAAAUAUAGAACUAGAGUAAACUAAGAACAUAAUAAUUAAAGACAUAAUGCAAUUAGAACAAAGAAUUAGAGAAAGAUAUGAAUAAUACCAAUCUUUAUUACCGAAGAUCCGAAUCCAGAGCGUAGUGCUCUACUUCUCUAAUUGCUAUCUAAUCAACCUCUAAACUUGAAGGAUUAGGGAGUAGCUAAUUCUAAUUCUCUGUGGGAGAGAGAUCUAAACCCUAACUUUGAUGGCUACCUCUGAAUAAUGAUUUCUCCUCUCUCCUCCAGGGGCCAGGGGGUCUGGUUUUAUAGUCCCCUCAAGUGAACGUGAGCCAUUGGAUCAAACCGACAUAGAUUGUAUGGUUUAGAUUGAUCCUUUAGGUCGGUGGAGCGUAGUCCCGAAGCAGAGUCCUGAUUGGCCUCUAUCCCUGGGCGGGCGCCCAAGGGGGGUGGGCGGGCGCCCAGCCCCCGAGCCCGAAUCGUGUCCCGUUCGUUCCCGUGGCUUCUGGACCCUUCUAGAUUGAGGAAAAUUACGCGGCAGGUAAUUAUCUCGUUGUAAACAUGACAUGUGGGCCUUCUCUCCAUAUUUUCUGAUAAACCCCUGCAAAAAUAGAUAAACACCAAAACUCGUGGAAUUCUGUCAGAUAAAACCCUAAUUCUAUAUGUUUGUUUCAUAUUGAUCCUUUUUCAUGUUUAUUUGAUUAUUAAUUUUAGUACUUAAGGACCGUCAACAUCCACCAUAAGCAAAGCAUAUAGAGUUUGGAACUUGGCAAGUGGCAUAUUAGAAGAAGUCCAUGAUGUUGAGUUUGAUGAAACCAAGGGAUCUCAAAGUGAAGCUCAAAAUUUUGAUGAUGUGAGGGGAGAUCAAUUGGCAAAUGCAAUGAAGAACAUAGAUGUAGGUGACAUAAGACCAAGGCAAGUUGAUGAUGAUGGUCACAUUCACAUGAUCAAUCAAGAAGUGCAAAUUGAUACAAAUCAAGCUAGUACUAGUGGCUCUCAUGAUGAUGAUCAAAAUCAAAGUCAAACAAGUGGAAGUAAUCAACUCCCAAUCCUCCAACCUACAAGCAUAGCAAGGGAUCAUCCAUUGGACCAAGUCAUUGGUGGUAUUCAAAGUGGUGUACAAACAAGAUCAAGGCUAGCAUCCUUUUGUGAGCACUAUUCAUUUGUCUCAUUUGAAGAACCAAAGAGAACAGAAGAUGUAUUGAAGGAUUCCGAGUGGGAAAAUGCCAUGCAUGAAGAAUUGAACAACUUCACAAGAAAUUAAGUGUGGGAGCUUGUUGAGAGGCCAAAGAACUACAAUGUGAUUGGUACCAAGUGGGUCUUUAGAAACAAGCAAGAUCAAGAUGGUGUAGUUGUGACAAACAAAGCAAGAUUAGUAGCACAAGGCUACACUAAAGUUGAAGGUCUUGACUUUGGAGAGACAUAUGCACCGGUUGCAAGAUUGGAGGCAAUUAGAAUAUUAUUAGCCUAUGCUUGUGCCCACAACAUCAAGCUAUAUCAAAUGGAUGUGACGAGUGCAUUUCUCAAUGGAUACAUAAAUGAGUUGGUUUAUGUUGAACAACCUCCCGGUUUUGAAGAUGACAAGAAACCCAACCAUGUUUACAAGCUCAAGAAGGCAUUGUAUGGUUUGAAGCAAGCACCUAGAGCAUGGUAUGAGAGAUUGAGAGAUUUUCUUCUCUCUAAAGGGUUCAAGAUAGGAAAGGUUGACACUACCCUCUUCACCAAGAAGCUAGACAAUGACUUGUUUGUGUUGCAAAUCUAUGUUGAUGAUAUCAUAUUUGGAUCAACCAAUCAAGACUUUUGUGAAGAGUUUGGAAGAAUGAUGGCAAAUGAGUUUGAGAUGUCCAUGAUAGGAGAGCUUAGUUACUUCCUUGGACUUCAAAUCAAGCAAAUGAAGGAUGGCACUUUUGUGAGUCAAGGAAAGUACAUCAAGGACAUGAUCGAGAAGUUUGGGUCGCAAGAAGCUAAACCAAUGAGCACACCUAUGGGCACAAAUGAUCAAUUAGGUAGUGAUGCAAGUGGCUACAUGGUAGAUCAAAAGCUAUACCGGUCUAUGAUUGGAAGUUUGCUCUAUGUCACCGCAUCAAGGCCGGAUGUGAUGUUUAGUGUGUGCAAAUGUGCAAGAUACCAAGCUUCACCUAGAGAAAGUCACUUGAAGGCAACCAAAAGAAUAUUGAGAUAUCUUAAGGGCACUCAUGAUGUUGGACUAUGGUAUCCCAAGGGGUCCAACUUUGAGUUGAUUGGAUAUUCAGACUCCGAUUAUGGUGGAUGCAAGAUUGAUAGAAUGAGCACAAGUGGCACUUGUCAAUUGCUAGGAAGGUCUCUAGUUUCAUAGUCAUUAGAGAAACAAAAUAGUGUUGCAUUAUCAACUGCCGAGGCCGAAUACAUUAGUGCUGGUAGUUGUUGUGCAUAAUUGCUUUGGAUGAAAGCUACCUUGAAUGACUUUGGAAUCAAAUUCAAGAAUGUGCCUUUGCUAUGUGACAAUGAGAGUGCAAUCAAGAUGACACAAAAUCCGGUUUAACAUCCAAGAACCAAGCACAUUGACAUAAGGCACCAUUUCAUAAGGGACCAUCAACAAAAGGGUGAUAUUAGCAUUGAAAGCAUUGGUACCGAAGAUCAACUAGCCGACAUCUUCACAAAGCCACUUGAUGAGAAGAGAUUUUGCAAGUUGAGAAAUGAAUUGAACAUACUUGACUUCUCCAACUUGAGAUGAGUGCACCCCCACAUUUAUCUAUGACAUGCCUCUCCUCCAACAAAGCAAGGUAAAGUUGGUUGACAUAGCUGUUGACACUUGCUAACACCACUUGAAUACUAGGUUGUCAUCCCUAGCAUGGCACUAGAGUGUACUAUGGUAUUUAUACGCACACAGAUAAAUUCGCAAGCGCACGGAUACUGUUGUAGCUUUUACCCGGUUAAAGGUCUUAUCGUAUCCACAGGGAAACAUGAGAACUGAUCUACGCUCUAACUUAACCUAGAUAGACAGGUAGGUGUAAAUAGGUAAGAUGGUAGAAUUGAAUAUGAACAAUAUUAAAGGUAAGAUAAUAAUGGGUGAUAAUAUGGGAAUAGAGAGUAGAGCAAUCUAAUAUAUGAGCGAUGGUAGGAGAAUAGAGAGGAUAACUAUGGUUUCUCUACUUCAAAGGGGUAUGUCUAUGUCUGGGACGAACCACGUGAUAAGAAUACACCACAAAAGAUGCUUAUCCAUAGGCCGAUAAACCCUACCAGUCCUGCUAACGGGAGGUGGACUACAGGGGACCAACGUAACUGUCACCUACGCGGCCUACCACACGAUCCGGCUAGACAGGGGAUAUCCACAAGUAAUCUAGGUCUAAGCACCACGCUUACACCUAUACUACAACUCUCACCUAUAGCGUCCUAUAGAUUAAAGUACUCAAAAGAGUUGUGAACCAGAACAUACAUGGAUAGUAAUUGCAUAAUGAAAUAGAAGUAGAUUACCAGAGUCAUCCCAUGAGCAAGCUUGAUUAGAGCUCGAUCAUGGCGAAGUACAACCAGAGGAAGAACCGAUAGGCCGGCCUCUCCUCCAAUCCUCCCUCGCUCUCCAUCUCGCUGUUGGCACUUGCUAAUACCACUUGAAUACUAGGUUGUCAUCCCCAGCAUGGCACUAGAGUGUACUAUGGUAUUUAUACGCACACAGAUAAAUCCGCAAGCGCACGGAUACCGUUGUAGCUUUUACCCGGUUAAAGGUUUUAUCGUAUCCACAGGAAAAUGGGAGAACUGAUCUACGCUCUAACUUAACCAAGAUAAAUAAAUAGGUGUAAAUAGGAAAGAUAGUAGAAUUGAAUAAGAACAAUAUUAAAGGUAAGAUAACAAUGGGUGGUAAUAUGAGAAUAGAGAGUAGAGCAAUCUAGUAUAUGGGCGAUGGUAGCACAAUAGAGAGGAUAACUAUGGUUUCUGUACUUCAAAGGGGUAUGUCUAUGUCUGGGACGAACCACGUGAUAAGAAUACACCACAAAGGAUGCUUAUCCAUAGGCCGAUAAACCCUACCAGUCCUGCUAACGGGAGGUGGACUACAGAGGACCAACGUAACUGUCACCUACGCGGCCUACCACACGAUCCGGCUAGACAGGGGAUAUCCACAAGUAAUCUAGGUCUAAGCACCACGCUUACACCUAUACUACAACUCUAACCUAUAGGGUCCUAUAGAUUAGAAGUACUCAAAAGAGUUGUGAACCAGAACAUACAUGAUUAGUAAUUGCAUAAUGAAUUAGAAGUAGAUUACCAGACUCAUCCCAUGAGCAAGCUUGAUUAGAGCUUGAUCAUGGCGAAGUACAACCGAAGGAAGAACUGACAGGCCGGCCUCUCCUCUAAUCCUCCUUCGCUCUCCAUCUUGCUACUAUCUAGAUCUACUCUAGUUUAGAGAUGAGAGGAGAGCUCUCAUCUCCAAACCCUAGCUUUUGCUCUGUCUAUGAAUAAUGAAUAAUGAUUAAGGGGUGUCUCCUCCAGGGGCCAGGGGGUCUGGUUAUAUAGUCCCCUCAAGUGAAUCUUGGUCGUCGGAUCAAACCGACAUUGAUUGAACGAUUAUUCUUGAUCCUUUAGGUCGGUGGAGCGUAAUCCGCGAAGUUGAACAUGAUUGGCCAAAAUACUUGGGCGGGCGCCCUAAGGACUUGGGCAGGCGCCCUAUCUCUAAGCCCUCUCGGCUUCCGCUUUGUUCCCAUGGUUUCUGGAGUCUUCUAGAUGAUAGAAAAUUGCGCGGCAUGUUAAUAUCUCUAUGUAAACCCUACGUGCGGGCCUUUCCUCCAUAUUUCCUGAUAACCCCCUGCAGAAAUAGACAAACACCAAAACUCGUGGAAUUCUGUCAGAUAAAACCCUAAGUCUGGGUGUUGGUUGCAUUUGAAUCCUUUUCUUUAUUUAUUUGAUGAUUAUAUUUGAUACAACUCCCCCAAGCUUACCUCUUGCUCGUCCUUGAGCAAGGAUGGACUCAAGAGUUUCUGCAGUGGUUUUAUACCUUAAAGGUACAUAUGCAUUUAAACAAGAUCUCAUCUCUAGGUUAGGGUAAACUGUUAAUAUUUAAACUUACUCAUAUUACCUUCCACCAUGGGGCUUGCAACCGUCACUUGUGUCUUGAGCAGUUAAAAGAUAGAACGGUCAAGUCAAGCACCAUGUCUCUUGUUCUUUGAUCAACUAUAGCUUUGGAGUUUUUGCAGAUUUUCAAAUAAAACUCAGAGAUUCCUUGUAUGACUCUCUCUAGUCUCUCUUUUGUGGUAUUUUUGGAUCCUUACCAAGGCAGUGAUGAUAUAUGCCUUCUCUCUCACCCUACUCUAACAAGGUUUUGAUAUCUAGAGCUCAUAGGUGGGAGACAGCUAAUACAUACUUACAAGACAUUUAUUGCAUAGUCAAACCAUGGAUCUAGAGAAACAAGUCAAUAAGUCAAAUCAAGAUGUCCAUGUGUGGCGAAUGAAUGGUGUAUGGUGAUGAUGGUGAUAAUGGUGAAAACAAUGGUGAAAGUCUAAUUCUACUUUUACUCUUUUGAGGGGAUACAUACCUUUCUUGCACUUUGAAGCUUUUUGAGGAGAAUGAGAUGCUCUAUAUUUUAUUUUUCUUUUCUCUCAGGUGCGUAUCUUGUACCCCUAAUUCUACUGUCGGACACUUGUCUAUUUUUACCUCUCGUCUCACUUUUUUUUCUUUUGAGGUUCUGGGCACUUGCCCCUUUUUAUUUCCUCGUAUUUUUCUUUUUUUUCUUCUCUCUCUUUUUUAGAGCACUCACCCUCCAAGAAUAAUGUAGCAAGUGGUAGUAACCAAAAUAUCUCGAGCAUUUAUUUCACAGGGAAUAACAGGGAUAGGAGAAUGUUUUUGGCUAUUCUCUCCCAGAUAGGAGUAGAAUACUUUUAGGUGAAUCUAGAGAUGGAAGUGAGUGGAUGGAUGUGGAUGCGUACUUCUGGAGUAGAAGUAGCAUAUAUGAGUGAACGUGCAAGUGAAUCUUGAUUUUAACCGCAUGACAAACUCCGAAGGGUCUACACAGCUUGACCACACUCAAUGCUCAUAAGCAGUAAAAAGUAAAUGCAUGGUUCAUUAAGCAUGUAUAUAUGGCUGUGGUGGGAUUUUAAACUCUCAUCAUACAGGAACUCAUCAUGCAAAAUUUUAAAGAUUUUCAAAGAUAAACAGCAUGCCUCAACUCUAGGAACAGAUAAACAGCAGCUCAACCUUCCCAUAUCAUAUCCGUUAACGACUUAGACUUUAGAUCAAGUACUCUUCCCACAAGUUCAGGUUUAGAGCAAAUCUUAAUUCAUAACAGUCAUGCCUAAACUUGAGAGAGAAUUUAAUUUUGAGAACUAGUCAUGGCAGAGCAACUAUUCAUCAUUUCCAUGUGAGAGCUUAUCAUGAGGGUUCAUAGCAAACUUUAUUAAUUUAUUUAUUUAGCAAACUAAGAAAAGAUAUAUAUAUAAGCAUAAAAUCUUUAUUUGGGUUUUUAUGCUUAUGCAUCUUUUUAUUAUUUUAACAAAGUAUAGGUAUAAACGUAGAUAGAAAUACUUAGCUGGAUAAAUGGGGGUGCUCUCCCCCAAGCUGGAUUUUGACGUAAUUUCUUUUGAUGUAGCUAGCAGGUGGCGGAGGUGUAUUUGAAUGUCAGUAGCACUCUGACAGCGAUUAGAAUGUCCUCCGUCUGCUAGUCUUCCUUGAAUUCUGUGGAGUUCAAAUAGACAACAAAGCUUUGUGGAACUAGUUAAGUGUUAGCAUAAAUAUCUAGCCAUUAUCAUGUUGAGCUUCCUCUAAUAAAUAUUACUCUCUUUGGUAGGAUCAUAAAUUUAUUUUUAUAUUUUCAUUUCUAUAGGACAAGAAUAUAUUUAUUUUAUUUUUGCGCCACCACAGUGAAUGUACUUAUGGGUUUCAUGCCACGAGUAUACUCACAUGGGGCUUAGUAUUUUUUAACAUUUUUAUUUUCUUUUCAAGAUAGCAUGAUUAACUAAUAAGAUAUUUAAGGAAAGUAAAUAAUUAAAGGGAAAAGGGAAUGCAGAAAGGAUAAAUAUGGAUAACUACCGAUUUUACCUUUCGGCGAGGAUUCAAUGUUUUAAGUCUUCUGAACAAGACAUCUCACCGUGUUCAUUCUUCAGGUGCGUCAUUUGAUUCAGGUGUGGACCUUGACGUCUGCACCUCUUAAUACGGUGGCACCCAUGUUCUUCGUUUGCCCAGUAGUUCAAAGUGCGGUGUUGGCAGUAUCUUGCUCAGUGUGUUUGUGCUCGUAGUGUACCUGCUCAUAGAGACAAGGCAGAGAUCAAGUGCAUGGGCCCUGUUGGUGGAAAACACCAACAGAACCAAAAGUAUAUUUAUUCUUCUCUAUCCUUAAGCAUAGGGAGCAAGACAAAGUUGAUGGGUGAUAAGUUCAUGAGUGUAGCAUUUAAAACAUUUGUCAGAUCAGAUCGCUCAACCUAAUGGAAAGAUAAUCUAUCUAUAUUUAUGUUUUUUAUAUAUCUUCCAAAGAUUAAGUGUGCAACAUUUUAGCUCAUAUGAUUAGAAGUGUGGGAUCACAAAGGUGGAAGGACUAAACAUGUUGAAUCAAUUGGGUUGGUUAAUCUAGAGUUGUAAAUCAUACAUGUUUGUCUCUUUUAUUGAUAUGAACGCCAGAACCAAGGAGAAACUUAUAAAAGUGAUAGUCAAGUACCUUAAGAUGUUACAUUAUUUGAAGAGUGAUGGUACAGUAUCUCCUUGUGGAAGCUUUCCUGUAACACCCAAAAAUUUGCUUUUGAAUUAGGUUUAAUUUGAUUUAAUUAAGUAUAUUUUUUUGUGAGCAUUUAAAUUAGUAAAUAAAUAAAUUUUGUUGAAAUUAAAUUUAUCAUAAGUCUAGUAAACUUGAUCGGGCAUUCAUGCUGAAGCAUAUUUCAUUUUGUGUUGUUUGCCUUUGGAUUCAAAAUAAUAUUUAGAAAAGGUUUUGGAAAAGGAAUAAAAAAGAUAAAAGCACCAACCCUGCCCUCGGCGUGGUGGCCUUUUGGCCCAGCCAGUUUUUUUCCCAACCGACUUCCCAUCGGCCCAGCCAGCAGAUCGCGGCCCAACUUCUCUACCCGCACGCGCACCCGCCUCCCUCUCUUUUCGUUUCACUGACCGACGGGCCCCGCUCUUCCCUGCCGCUGACGCACUGGCCCCAUCUGUCAGCUGGUUUCUUCAACCUCAAGCCGUGACCGGCUUGGACUCUGCUCCACCGAAAAUUUUCCCCGAUUUCUCGGGAUUUCUUGCCAACGUGCGCGUCGAGCACCCCUAUAAGAAGGUGGGGCACUCCACUUGAUCCCGGUUCCGUCGUAGGCCACCCCAAGCCCUAAUUCCCAGUCGCCCCCAUUUUGGAUCUCGGUGAACGCAGAAACAAGCCGCCGCCGUGGUUCUCGCCCCGAAGUGCUCUCUGGUAGUUGAAAGCUUCGUGCCGAGCUUCGCGACGUCCUUGCGGAGCCGCAGAACCCUUCCUUCCUCCUUUUCGUGCGCUUGGUGAUCCGCUAACCCAUGCCGAACUUCUGCAGGAGCUUCUAUCCGCCGGGUCACGUGACCAGUCAUCUCCGAGCCCUCCUCGCCUUUGCGUUUUGCCCUAGGUGAAUUCGUCUCGAUUCCCUCUUGCUUCCGGUAUGAUUAGUUUCUUAAAUCAUGCCAAAAAUCGCCGUUUCGCCAACUCCGGCAAUGUUCCGGCCGAAAUCCGGCCAUGGCGCCACCGGCCGGGGCACUGUAGCCGGCCAGCACCCCCUCUUUUCCCUGGCUUCUAAUCCAAGCCAUACGAAUCUAAUCCAACGGCUCAAAUUCAACCAUACCCCUUCAUCUUUUCUUUUUGCUAAAGAGCCCCUCACCUAUUUGAAUAUCGAACCCGCGAUCCAUGGCAUAAAGACAAAAAGAUGCUUUGCUGUUUCAAAAGCGUAUUCUGGGUUGGUUAACAGGAAAAUACGUUUUCAGAUAAUUACAAAACUGCCACUGGAUUUGUUUAGCUUAUAAAACCUUCAUUUUAAUUCCGUUUUGACCCAUUCAAAUUGCGCUGGAUUCGUAUUAAUGAGCUCUGCAUGUUAGUAACACUGUUUUCUCAGUUUGAAACUUUUUAAUUUCGUGAUCUUAUUUAAUUAAUUACUUUUCGAUAUAAAAUCUUAGAAAAUUCAUAUCUUUUUCGUUUCAACUCCGAUUUUCAUGAUCUUUACGUCUGUGAGAUCGUAGCGCUGCGUAGAAUCUUUUUAUAAACUUUUCAUACUGUUUUUAUAUGAUUGGUGUACUGUUCUAAUUGUAGCCUUGUUUUCUUCAUGUAUGUUUUCUUCGAUUUUUUGUGUGAUUGAUGAUCGAGAUUAGACGAUAAGCAAUUCGUGGUGAACAAGAGUACUUCAUUGAACAAGAUUAGAGCCUUGGACAACUAGCAAGAUCAGCAAGAGAAUUUGGAUUAAGGCAAGUAUAGCAUUUGGAUUUUAUUUCUGUGACCAUGAUCCUGUGACUAGAUUAAUGUUAAGUAAUAAACGGUAAAAAUGACUUUAUAGCAACUUGAUGAUUUAUCUGUACGUGAUCACCCGGGGUAACAGUGCAACCAUGAGGGCUAUAAUGGCUCUGGCUUUAGUUAAGUAUGGGUAAUUUUUCUAGCUCAUUAGCGGUUACCCAUGUGGCGCAAUUGGGGAAUAGCAGACCGUGGAUUCCUGCGGGUGGAUCACAUGGACUGACUAAUGAAACCAAGCAGCCCUAACUUGUUAGACGAACCUUUGAAAGACUUCAUAGUGAUCUCUGUCGACCUCCCUAGGAAGGAGGUUAAGAGAUUAGCUACCUCGGGCGAAAGGGUAAAUCAUGACUCAUGGGUAAAGAUGUACAACCUCUGUAGAGGAUUAAAACUAGUAUACUAGCCGAGCUCACGGUCAGGAGCAGCCUUGGGGACAUCUACAUUAAGGGUGAUGAUUCUUGUGUGUUAAUAUGCUUAUUAUUAUUGUUUAAUGCUCUACAUUAUUUAUGUCACAUUGAUCAUGAGGUUGUGGGAUCUAUACAAUCUAGUUGCUAUACUUGUUGAGUUCGACAUAGACUCACUCUUGCUAUUUCCCCCAUACAUCAGGAGGAGUGUUAGGCUUGUGAUCAACCAGUCAGUUGGAUCCUGUAGAGUGAAGUUAAUACCCGAAGUUGGAGUUGGCUAUCCGAUGUUUGCUAUUAAAGGUUAUCUCUUUUAUACUAAGUACGUUAUAUAUUUAUGCAUUGUCUUUUGAUAUUACCCCUUUAUUUGUAGCUAUAUGUAAGAAUUGACUUCUAAGACUCACAUAUGGUGUGUAUCUGAUUUUGUCCUUAAAAUCAGGUAUUAUAAAGUGGUAUCAAAGUAAUGCUGACUGUAGGACACAAGCCUAGCUAGAAAAUGGCCAUCUUAAGGUUUUGAAAUAGUUAGAACACCCUUGCUCUAUAAACCUUGGUAUUUUUAUCUAUGCUAUAUCUCUACCCUUGCUAUUUAUCUCUACCUUGUUGCUUAUUUUAAAAGUACUUGUUCUCAUCUUCACUCCUUGAUUGAUAUGCUUUUAGAACCUUUUCUUACCAUCUUCUUGCGUCUUUGAAAUAUAAGUUUUAGGAUCAAUACCCUUGCCAUGAAGAGAACGAUAGUAUCGCAAGUUGAGUGAAGUGUGAACCUUUAAUGCUUAGUUGGUUUGUCAUUAUGCUUAUGCUUGAUUUGGAUCUUUGUAAUGAUUGCAAUGAUCUUGUGGGAUUCCUCCACAAUUUCAUUUAGUUCAUAGGCCUAAGGUAUAAGGAUUAAUGAAAUAAGUAGUUGGGUUUGGUUAUAUCCUGUUUCUAUCCCUUGCUGAUUGCUGGAGCAGUCUGCAAUAAUCAUGGUGUAUCUCAAGUUCUGAUCGUGCAAAGUUUGUCAACUUUUUUCGGGAACAACUAGACUUCAAGAUCUUUCUCUGACCGCAAGAAUCACCCUCAUAGCUGUUAUGGUUUGGAAGUUACAAAAAUCACAAGAUGAUACAACUGUGCUGUCAAGAACCUGGACCAGUUUUGGUUGCUUACUGUUUGAGACAAAUAUAGCUAUAGAAUUUGGAAAAGUGUUCUGUAGAAACGAUGUAGACAAUUUACUAUGCUUUCCAACAGUAUAAGCUGGAACUAAUUUGGAUUAGUAGAACCUGAGAUAUGACAUUUACACUUGGAUGUUUCUGUUCUGUAUCAAAGUCUGGAUAGUUUUGGUAUUCCCUAUUUUUGGCCAAGUUAAAGACAGAAUCUGGGAAAACAUGGUAUACGAAAGUUGUAGAGGAUUUCCUAAGCUUUUAAAAAAUGUAAGGAUCAUCUCCAGAUGAGUUAAGUAGCUCGAGAUAUAAUUUCUAGAAGUUACUGCACCUUUGCUGAGACAUUAUCAGAACAGAUAUUAUGUUUGGUUGUAUUACCUAAGCUUAAAGACAGAAUCUAAGGAGGUCUUCUACAGAAACGUUGUGGUGAAUUUCAUAAGUUUUCUAACGAUAUAAUCUAUAACUCUAUUGGAUUAACAGAAUGAGAGUUAUACCUGUUUUUCUAUGCUGGUGUUUUUCAUAUCGCGGGAAAAUUUCAGGAUACAUGUUUAUUCUCUUGCACAUAAGCUCUUUUGGAUGUCAUAAGUUCUCAAUGCUAGUUAACUUGUCUGGAAAAUAUGCUAGCUACCCUUCUUGUGUCCCCUAGUUGACCUUUCUUAAGGGGGGUAGCCCAAAUAAAGGGGUUACAUGGAGAAGAAUUGGAUAAUGUUGGAUCAAGAGACUCGGUACCACGAAUGUAAAAGACUAUGAUGUGUGGCGUCCAAAAAGGAUAGGAGAACUAGUCCCUAGUGUCCCCCAAUCAAUCUAAUUUUAAGGGGGGUAGUACCUUGAUAUCACGGGUGAUGCAUUUUAAAACUAGCUUGAAGUGAUAAUUGUCUUCUGAGAUAUUCUUUGGUUAUAAUCAUCUAUCCUUGCCGUGUUACUGACGUUGGUCACUUGAUGACAGGGAGUGUAGUGUCCCAUGAAUCCGGAGCACAAUAUGACACCUCUCAUGGAUAGGUGGAAAGAAUAUGAUCAUCUUGCCUUUGAAGAAAGAUGCUAUGAGUAUGACAAAACUGAGUGUUAUCAAAGUAAUAAUACGGAAGAGCAAGUUGACAUUGAAUCAAAUCAGAAUUCACAACGACGGAAGCGAAAAAGGAAAGCUCGUAAGAAGCCUGCUCACAGAAAUAAAGUAUAACAAAAUUAUAUUAAUGGAAGACUGAACAAUGUGGAUAUGAAUAACAUUCAAGGAGUCACCAAAGUGGUGGGUGGUUAUGUUCAAGUGGACUCAGUGUUGGUUUUUGCUCUGUUUGACCGAAGUGCUUCCCAUUCUUUCAUUUCUGCCAACUUGGUAAAAACAAUUGAGCGGUGAAGUGUCCAACAAGGAAGCCUUUGUUAGUUCAAACUCCAAAGGGAGAAAUACAGGCAGACCAGGUUUGCUCGAAUAUUAAUCUGGUCAUAAGAAAGGAGAACUUCACAGUAAACCCCAUUGUGCUAGAGUCACUCAAUAUUCCUUUGGUUCUUGGCAAUGGAUGGUUAUGUGCACACAAGGCAGUGAUCUAUGCUACCCAGUGGAAACUUUUCUUAACCGCACCAUCAGGGAAAAGAAUUGAGUAUCAAGAUGGUCCACUCCUACAUGAGGAGGCAUAUCUAUGCUAAGUUAUCAUGUCUUUGAGUUGUAUAAGUCAAAAGUUGGUAGUCAAGAUGGUUUUUAAUCAGCUAUGAAUAAUAGACAUUUUAUGGAUGUUUUAUUUACAAGUUGUGAUCCCGAGACAUAAGUGUUUACAUUGGAAUACAAGUUGUGAAGUUGAAAUAGAUAUCAAGAUCUUGUUCUUGUCUCCCUUUUGGAAUCCGUGUCUCUUCCGAAUCUCGAGGACGAGAUUCAUUUUAAGGGGGUAGAUUUGUAACGCCCAAAAAUUUGCUUUUGAAUUAAUAGGGUUUAAUUUGAUUUAAUUAAGUAUAUUUUUUUGUGAGCAUUUAAAUUAGUAAAUAAAUAAAUUUUGUUGAAAUUAAAUUCAUCAUAAGUUUAGUAAACUUGAUCGGGCAUUCAUGCUGAAGCAUAUUUCAUUUUGUGUUGUUUGCCUUUGGCUUGAAAUUAUUUUGCAUUCAAAAUAAUAUUUAGAAAAGGUUUUGGAAAAGGAAUAAAAAAGAGAAAAGCACCAACCCUGCCCUCGGCGUGGUGGCCUUUUGGCCCAACCAGUUUUUUCCCCAGCCGACUUCCCAUCGGCCCAGCCAGCAGAUCGCGGCCCAACUCCUCUCCCCGCACGCGCACCCGCCUCCCUCUCUUUUCGUUUCACUGACCGACGGGCCCCGCUCUUCCCUACCGCUGACGCACUGGCCCCAUCUGUCAGCUGGUUUCUUCAAUCUCAAGCCGUGACUGGCUUGGACUCUGCUCCACCGAAAAUUUUCCCGAAUUUCUCGGGAUUUCUUGCCAACGUGCGCGUUGAGCACCCCUAUAAGAAGAUGGGGCACUCCUCUUGAUCCCGGUUCCGUCGUAGGCCACCCCGAGCCCUAAUUCCUAGUCGCUCCCGUUUUGGAUCUCGGUGAACGCAGAAACAAGCCGUCGCCGUGAUUCUCGCCCCGAAGUGCUCUCUGGUAGUUGAAAGCUCCGUGCCGAGCCUCGCGACGUCCUUGCGGAGCCGCAGAACCCUUCCUUCCUCCUUUUCGUGCGCUAGGUGAUCCGCUAACCCAUGCCGAAUUUCUGCAGGAGCUUCUAUCCGCCGGGUCACGUGGCCAGUCAUCUCCGAGCCCUCCUCGCCCUCGCGUUUUGCCCUAGGUGAGUUCGUCUCGAUUCCCUCUUGCUUUCGGUAUGAUUAGUUUCUUAAAUCAUGCCAAAAAUCGCCGUUUCGCCAACUCCGGCGAUGUUCCGGCCGAAAUCCGGCCAUGGCGCCACCGGCCGGGGCACUGUAGCCGGCCAACACCCCCUCUUUUCCCCGGUUUCUAAUCCAAGCCAUACGAAUCUAAUCCAACGGCUCAAAUUCAACCAUACCCCUUCAUCUUUUCUUUUUGCUAAAGUGCCCCUCGCCUAUUUGAAUAUCGAACCCGCGAUCCAUGGCGUAAAGACAAAAAGACACUUUGCUGUUUCAAAAGCGUAUUCUGGGUUGGUUAACAGGAAAAUACGUUUUUAGGUAAUUACAAAACUGCCACUGGAUUUGUUUAGCUUAUAAAAUCUUCAUUUUAAUUCUGUUUUGACCCAUUCAAAUUGCGUUGGAUUCGUAUUAAUGAGCUGUGCAUGUUAGUAACACUGUUUUUUCAGUUUGAAACUUUUUAGUUUCGUGAUCCUAUUUAAUUAAUUACUUUUCUAUAUAAAAUGUUAGAAAAUUCAUAUGUUUUUCGUUUCAACUCUGAUUUUUGUGAUCUUUACGAGUUUGUGAGAUCGUUGCGCUGCGUAGAAUCUUUGUAUAAACAUUUCAUACUGUUUUUAUAUGAUUGGUGUACUGUUCUAAUUGUAGCCUUGUUUGCUUCAUGUAUGUUUUCUUCGAUUGUUUGUGUGAUCGAUGAUCGAGAUUAGACGAUAAGCAAUUCGUGGUGAACAAGAGUACUUCAUUGAACAAGAUCAGAGCCUUGGACAACUAGCAAGAUCAGCAAGAGCAUUUGGAAUAAGGCAAGUAUAGCAUUUGGAUUUUAUUUCUGUGACCAUGAUCCUGUGACUAGCUUAAUGUUAAGUAAUAAACGGUAAAAAUGACUUUAUAGCAACUUGAUGAUUUAUCUGUACGUGAUCACCCAGGAUAACAGUGCAACCAUGAGGGCUAUAAUGGCUCUGGCUUUAGUUAAGUAUGAGUAAUUUUUCUAGCUCGUUAGCGGUUACCCAUGUGGCGCAAUUGGAGAAUAGCAGACCGUGGAUUCCUGCGAGUGGAUCACAUGGACUAACUAAUGAAACAAAGCGGCCCUAACUUGUUAGACGAACCUUUGAAAGACUUCAUAGUGAUCCCUGCCGACCUCCCUAGGAAGGAGGUUAAGAGAUUAGCUACCUCGGGCGAAAGGGUAAAUCAUGACUUAUGGGUAAAGAUGUACAACCUCUGCAGAGGGUUCAAACUAGUAUACUAGCCGAGCUCACGGUCAGAAGCGGCCUUGGGGACAUCUACAUUAAGGGUGAUGAUUCUUGUGUGUUAAUAUGCUCAUUAUUUAUUGUUUAAUGCUCUACAUUAUUUAUGUCACAUUGAUCAUGAGGUUGUGGGAUCUAUACAAUCUAGUUGCUAUACUUGUUGAGUUCGACAUGGACUCACUCUUGCUAUUUCCCCCAUACAUCAGGAGGAGUGUUAGGCUUGUGAUCAACCAGUCAGUUGGAUCCUGUAGAGUAAAGUUAAUACCCGAAGUUGGAGUUGGCUAUCUGCUGUUUGCUAUUAAAGGUUAUCUCUUUUAUACUAUGUGUUGACACUAGCUAACACCACUUAGAUACUAGGUUGUCAUCCCCAGCAUGGUGCCAGAGCGUACAAAGGUAUUUAUAAAUGUAAAGGCUCUCUAGAAAAUAAUCUAUUCUAUCCGCAAGCACACAGAUAAAACACCUCAUUGUAGCAUUUCUCCAGGAUAAGUAUUCCAGGUAUCGUUAUUUAUAAUUUUGCUCAAAGGAUCUAAGGAGAUUAAAUUAAGGGCAAAAGCUAUCAAGGCAUAAAUAACACAGCGAUUAGAAUAUAGACUACUCCUCAUAUAUGUAGGUGAUGUCGGAUUAGCUGGAGAAUGGAUUCCAAUUUAUCUACUAACUACUAAGUCAUAAUCUACUCUAGUUAUCUACAAGAUCAUAUAUAGCAUAAAAGACUCUUCAUUCAUGUAUAAUGAACAUUGAUAAAGUAAAUCAGAGCAUCGCACGACUUACUCCACAAUACCGGUUCUGCCUGUCCUAUCAAUGGAGGGUGGACUAUAUAAGAAUCAACGAAGCUGUCACUAUCGUGAACUACCACACGACCCGGCCAAUAGGAUACAUUUGCAGAUAAAUAACAUCUAAGCACCACGCUCACAUGUGAUCUAUCACCUAACUCCCUCGCGUCAAGAGCUAAGCGCUUUGCAAACUUAUACAUAAACUCAUUAUCAAUUAGAACUAUAUCAAAUAUAGAACUAGAACAAACUAAGAACAUAAUAAUUAGAGACAUAAUGCAAUUAGAACAAAGAAUUAGAGAAAGAUAUGAAUAAUACCAAUCUUUAUUACUGAAGAUCCGAAUCCAGAGCGUAGUGCUCUACUUCUCUAAUUGCUAUCUAAUCAAACCUCUAAACUUGUAGGAUUAGAGAGUAGCUAAUUCUAAUUCUCUGUGGGAGAGAAGCUCUAAACCCUAACUUUGAUGGCUACCUCUGAAUAAUGAUUUCUUCUCUUCUCCUCUCUCCUCCAGGGGGGAGAGGCCUUGGUUUUAUAGUCCCUUCAAGUGAAUUUGAGCCGUCGGAUCAAACCUACAUUGAUUAUGUGGUUUAGAUUGAUCCUUUAGGUCGGUGGAGUUUAGCCCCGAAGCAGAGUCCUGAUUGGACUCCUAGCCUGGGCGGGCGCCCAAGGGGGGUGGGCAGGCGCCCUGCCCCCGAGCCCGAUCCUCUUCUCGUUCGUUCUCGUGGCUUCUGGACUCUUCUAGAUUGAAGAAAAUUGCACGGCACAUAAUUAUCUCGUUGUAAACAUGACAUGUGGGCCUUCUCUCCAUAUUGUCUGAUAACCCCCUACAGAAAUAGAUAAACACCAAAGCUCGUGGACUUCUGUUAGAUAAAACCCUAAUUCUAGAUGUUUGUUUUAGAUUGAUCCUUUUCCAUGUUUAUUUGAUUAUUAAUUUUAGUACUUAAGGACCGUCAACAAACUCCCCCAAGCUUACCCUUUGCUCGUCCCUGAGCAAAUAGCUAAACUCAGACGAAUCAGGAGUUGCUUCGAUGUUUUCUAUCCUGACAGGCACACAUGCUUUUAUAUAAAAAUUCUUCCAGAUUAGAGUGAAGUGUUAUGGAGUUUAGUACCUACACUUAAGUCUUAAGUAACUGAAAGACAAAAUAAUUAAGUCAAGCACUAUCCCUCCUGUUAUACUUCACCUUUGUUCCAGAGUUUUUCAUAAGUUUUCAAAAUAAAACUCAGAGUUCCCAGCAAUGAUUCUCUCAAGUCUCUCUAUAUGUAGUAUUUGUGGAUCCUUACCAAAAUGUCACUUACCUAUAGCUAAUGGAAUAUUUAAGUGGAGCUCAUAGGAGUGAAAAACAGCUCAUACAUAUGUUGUCUAAUCGAGCCAUGGAUCCAAAGGAACUCAGCAUAUAAUUAAGUCAAGAUGUGCAUGUGUGGUGGAGUAAAUGGUAGUGAUGGUGAUAAUAAAACUUACUUCUCAUUGCUCCUCAUAUUGCUAUCUCUCCUCCUCUUUGAUCUUUGCUUUGGGAGAACAUGGGCUAUCUUUUUUUUUCAGGUGGGUAGUAGAUACCCCUAAUUCUACUAUCGGACACUUGUCCAUUUUUUCCGCUCAAGUGGGCAUCUUUGUACCCCUAAUUCUACUCCGGACACUUGUCCAUUUUUACCUCUCGUCUCACUCUUUUUCUUUCUUUUUUGAGGUUCCGGGCACUUGCCACUUUUUAUUUCCUCGCAUAUUUUUGCAUAACCCAUGCCUCUUCUGCAUUGAAUCUUUUUAGAGAGAGAGAAUAACAAUAUUUGGGACCGUGAGUGAUAAUAUUUUUAGCAAUUUUAAUGAAUGGUUGUGGAUGGUGUAGUAGAUGUGUGCAAGUGAAUAUCUUAAUUUAACCACAUGAAAAGCUCCUAAGGGUCUACACAGCUCGAUCAAACUCAAUGUAAAUAUAGUAAAAGAUGUUAUAGCAAGUAUGGCUGUGGUAGGUAGUUUGUUAUGCUAGGAACUCAUCAUGUGAUUUGUAAGUUUUCAAAAUAAAUCUCUAGAACUUAGUGUAGUAGGAACAAGAUAAACAAUAGCUCAACUUUAUAUCACGCCUUUCGCAUACCUAGACUUUAGUUUUAUGCUUCCCAAAGAUAGUAAUUUUAGCUGUAGUAAAUCCUAGAAGAACUCUAAUAUAAAAGCUAGGUACUUGAAAGUAAGCAAACAGAGCAACUGUUCAUCAUUUCCAUCAUGCAUCUUUUUUGUCUUUUAUUUUUCUAGAGAUUAACACUUAGCAGAUAAAAUAAGGCACACUUAUCUACACACUCUUUUUAUUUUGUUUUCAUGUUUAUAGAAUGCAGUAAAUUAAAGCAAGAAAAUAUUUAUUGGGUUUUCUAAGUUUUUCCUUUUAAGAUAAAAAACUAAAAUAGAAAAGAAUAAAUAAGAAGAGCAAAUAAAAACUUACUUGAUAAAUUGGGGAGGAACUCUCCCAAGCUGGAUGUUGAUGUCGGCCUUACCCGAGGUUCCAGAACCGCAUCAUGGUUGUGAUGUUGUCGUUCAUUGUUGUUGUAUCUUGUCUCAGCUCUUGUACUGCAGCGGCAUGGUCCUGGUUCCAUUUUUGUUGCUCUUCCAGGAGUCGUCCAUGUUCUGGAUGUUGAGGAGAGUGUUGUCUGUACGGGUGAAGAAAGCACCGGCCUCUUGAUAGUAGUCAUUCGUGAAAGCGUAGGAGGUGUCAGAGUAUCGUCCUGCAUCAAAUUGGGGCGGAGGUCUGGAUCCUGAAGCUCCAUAUUGAUCAGUGGAGUACCUGCCCGUAUGGAAAGGCGGGUUUGUCCACUGGUGAUCUUGGCUCUCCGGCCAUGUAUCCUCUGUUGGCUCUUGUGG